RNAcentral lists this ribosomal RNA (420 nucleotides) under uncultured bacterium. Its description in RNAcentral is "bacterial SSU rRNA". It matches the Rfam family "Bacterial small subunit ribosomal RNA", at positions 355 to 774 of the family's 1533-position model. The record is from RNAcentral.
UAAGGAAUAUUGCUCAAUGGGAGAAAUCCUGAAGCAGCAACGCCGCGUGGAGGAUGAAGGGUCUAUGACUUGUAAACUCCUGUAAAGAAGGAAAAAAUUCCCAUUAGAUGGGAGAUGAUGGUACUUCUGGAGUAAGCCCCGGCUAACUACGUGCAAGCAGCCGCGGUAAUACGUAGGGGGAAAGCGUUGUCCGGAUUUACUGGGUGUACAGGGUGCUCAGGCGGAUUGGUAAGUCAGAGGUGAAAUCUUACAGCUUAAAUGUGAAACUGCCUUUGAUACUGCAAGCCUAGAGUAUGGAAGAGAGUGAUGGAAUAUCUGGUGUAGCAGUGAAAUGCGUAGAUAUCAGAUAGAACACCAAUGGCGAAGGCAGUCACUUGGUCCAUUACUGACGCUAAAGCACGAAAGCGUGGGUAGCAAACA